AAUGAACGCUGGCGGCGUGCUUAACACAUGCAAGUCGAACGAGAAAGUACCUUCGGGUGCGAGUAGAGUGGCGCACGGGUGAGUAACACGUAGGUAAUCUGCCUUUUGGUGGGGGAUAACCAGGAGAAAUCCUGGCUAAUACCGCAUAAGUUGGUAACAAGAAAGGAUGCUCCGGCAUUCGCCGAAAGAUGAGCCUGCGGGACAUUAGCUUGAUGGUGGGGUAACGGCCUACCAUGGCGACGAUGUCUAGCUGGUCUGAGAGGAUGAUCAGCCACACUGGAACUGAGACACGGUCCAGACUCCUACGGGAGGCAGCAGUGGGGAAUAUUGCGCAAUGGGGGAAACCCUGACGCAGCAACGCCGCGUGAGUGAGGAAGGCCCUCGGGUCGUAAAGCUCUGUCAGAUGGGAAGAAACUACAUUGGUCUAAUAGGCCUUUGUACUGACGGUACCAUCAAAGGAAGCACCGGCUAACUUCG
This 477-nucleotide ribosomal RNA is filed under the name uncultured Bacteriovorax sp. Its description in RNAcentral is "bacterial SSU rRNA". It matches the Rfam family "Bacterial small subunit ribosomal RNA", at positions 29 to 505 of the family's 1533-position model. Lineage: Bacteria; Pseudomonadati; Bdellovibrionota; Bacteriovoracia; Bacteriovoracales; Bacteriovoracaceae. The record is from RNAcentral.